Non-coding RNA from Lepisosteus oculatus (spotted gar), 2816 nucleotides. NCBI's taxonomy places the organism in Eukaryota, Metazoa, Chordata, Actinopteri, Semionotiformes, Lepisosteidae. The record is from RefSeq and is a predicted model, not a curated record.
CGCACUUCUGAUUGGACUGGUAGAGCCGUCCGUUUAAAUUUCAGUAACUACUAGUUCCUACUUCGUCAGACAAUUCCGACUCCAGGCAUUUUAAUGAUAAUAUUUAAAACGUCGAGGUGUUGUUAGGGUGCCCCUAGGAGUAUUGCGUUGUUCAGUGUCAUGUUUCAAUCUCUGCUGGCGUGGACGAACAAUUGUAUGCAAUUCAAGCACUACAGCGAAACCUGGAACAUCAGAAAGGGGCAAGGCAAAUCAUCGGCGUUUGCGAACCGUGGGAAGAACCUGGGACUGAUCAUUUGUCUCGCAGUAUUUUACUAUAUAAAUGAAAUCUACACAGUUAGAAUUCAGAAAAUAGGAAUGGGAAGUAGAUUGCUGUUUUACGCUCGAAGAAGAAGUGACGCUUUACUGCAUUGGCAUGCCUAUAUCCAAUGAAGCUCUAGUCUGCCGAGAGAUGCCAUAAGAUGGGCAAACAUGGAAUCACUGUAACAUUCUUAUGUCUCAAGAAGAAAAAAAGCGGCACAAGGACAUGCUGUCCUGUUGUAAAGUUGUCAUUUCAGGAUGAGUCUGCUCUUCUGAUGAUGGUGUUUGAAGAGACUUGGAAAGCCUGCAAACACACCGGCUGUCCUGGGUCAGGGUUACAGAUCCCUAGAGGUGACGCUCCUCCAGAUCAUCACACCUGGGCUUCCCCAUCGAUCGGUGUGUUGUCCACAGGAAUUAAUGUAUCGUGCCCCACCUGCUGACAUCCAUUGAGGUCUACACAAACCCCUCCUCUUUUAGUUUUGCAUCUGCUAAUGUGUUCAUAUGUUGAUAUUUAAUGUUUGCAUCACCUAUUACAGUAUAUGAUAAAAAUAGCCAUAGGUAAGAGAAACCUUGUAGGAUCAAUUAUGUUAAAGGAACAAUGAAAUGUGUACCACACAGUUCUGGGCCCCAGUGACUAGAGCUGCCUCUCGGCCAUGUUUCAAUAAUAAAACAGCUGGCAGGUGAAUCAAGUUGAAUAACUUUGUGGAUUUGCAGUUUUAAGUCCCAGUGAAUCAAGCUUCAUUCCAAACUGACAGAUUUUUAUGGUUAUAAUUAUCAAAUCAAAUGAUCUGAAAACAGUUUUAGCAGCUCACUGCUUUUAUAACACUGAUUUAGUUUGCAAAACAGUAAGUAUUCAGUUGAAAGAAUGCCUUUGUUUGCAUUUGAUAAAAGUGUUAAUAUCUGCAUAUAAGAUAUAAUUUUCUCACUGUAGGGUACCAAUGUACUGUUCUGUAACACUAUAAUCUUUUCAGCAUUGAGUUGAAGCCUUUACAUAAAAAUCCUCAUAAUCCUCAUAAAGGUUGACUAAUCCUAAUCAAAAUAUUAACUCUAACAUUUCUAACCUUUUCUUAUUCUGCCAAUGAGAAAAGGGUAUCCUUUUGCUUCUUAUAACACUAACGGUAGUUAAUGAAACAUGUACCAAGUACUGGAUGUCUGCAAUGCCAUUAAUUGAAAUGUUCACCUCAGCAUCUCUAUAACUAUAUGACUUCAGUUUUUAAGUAGGCUAUGUCAUGUUAUGAACUGCUUGUGUCAAAUUGGGGUUUACCAUUUGAGACUUAUUUAAGUAAAUAUUGCAAAGGAGUCCCUCUUUCAUAUGUGUAAUAUUGUCUGUAAUAACUGUAAUGCGCUGCUUCCCAGUAUUUCUUAGUGCACUAUCAACAAACUUCAGUAUGCUCAUAACUCAGCUGUUCAAACGUAAAUUACAUCCAAGCUCUGCACGUAUAUCACUCCUGUUCUAGCCACCCUGCACUGGCUUCCAGUUCCAUACAGUAAAAAUAUGAAGCUGGGAACCAUAUAUAGAAGACAUUACUCAUUUAUGGUUCUUCUUAUCUGAGAGAUUUGCUGAGCUGUUAUGCUCUUUAAGUUCUGUCUUGCUGUGUGUACCUGUGAUGUGACACCAUACACAGUGUGAUUGGAUGUUCUGUGGAAAUGUGAAAAACUAAAAUGUUUAACCCGAGACUGUUCAAGUCUCAAUAUUUUGGUCUACAAAAAUUCACUUAAAAAUCAGUUUUUAAAGGCUAGCUUUUCCUAACUUAACAGAAAAUGCUGUUCCCAUUCCCUUCCUAUGGUUCCUACUGUAUAUUGAAUUGCAUAAAUAUUCAGACCCAUGAACUCGGUAUUCGGUGGAAGCACCUUUGGCAUCAAGUACAGACACAAUUUUUUUCUUUGCUCAAGUCUUUGAUCCUCAAGCACCAUCUAGUUGCUUGGGGGUUGCUUAUAGACAACAGUUUUCAAGUCUUUCCAAGAGGAUUCAAGUCAGCAGAUUAAGUUUUCUGCUGUGUCAUACAGCUCAGCAUAGUGGUGAGACCAGGAUAUUGUUAACUGAUACACAUUAUGUCAACUAUUGACCUCGGUAACACUUUUAAAAUUGUUGUAGGCUUUAGGUGGCCCCCCCUCUCCAGAGGAGAUGUCAGUAUUUUUUGUACCCUUCUCCUGACUGUGCUUUUCAGUGACUUUAUCCCCUACUUGUUUUGCCAUAGCAAUGGCUUGAAUACUUCUGUGUAUACUUCUAUGAUAUUUUCUUUUUACUUUUGUAUUAUUUAUUUAGUUAUUUCUCUGUUUUUUACUUUGAAUCUGCACAGUAGGUUGUGUGUAUAGAAAAUAUUAAGUACUGAUUCAGAGUGUCAGAACUGGAUGAUUUACAGCAACAAAAUGUAAAAACAGUGGAGAGAUCUGAAUACCUUGCAAGGCACUGUAUAUACAAUUGAUUUGUUACCUCCACUGUAAAACUCCGAUAUCUCUUCACAUGAAAGAGACUAUAUAAAAUAAAAAUUUUAAAAAACUUACAUUAAUUUAAUAAU